Molecule: long non-coding RNA, 658 nt
Filed under: Vitis vinifera (wine grape)
Lineage: Eukaryota; Viridiplantae; Streptophyta; Magnoliopsida; Vitales; Vitaceae
Description: long non-coding RNA (VVIN_LNC000348)
Source: RNAcentral
AAAAACCGAAGUUUUGCCUCUGUUUGGUUCCUGGGAAAAUGAAAUCAUUCCAGAUUUUCGUACUUCGUUGCAGCAAGUAGUGAAAAAUGAGCUUGUUUGUUUCCCUCGUACAAUCUGAUUAUCUUUUCUUUGAUCUCAGAAACAACGCCGGGAAGUUCACUCACGAGCAUGCUAUCUCCGAAGAUGGAAUCGAGAUGACCUUUGCUACCAAUUAUCUAGGUAAAAAUUGAAGAAAAAAACUGAAAUUAUUAUUUAUUCAAUUUAUUUGAGCUAAGUAAUAUAUAUACAUUUUCAAUGAAUUUCUCAGGUCAUUUUCUAUUGACCAAACUGUUACUAAAUAAGAUGAUCGAAACGGCGAAAAAGACCGGCGUUCAAGGUCGCAUCGUGAACGUAUCGUCGACCAUUCACAGCUGGUUUUCCGGCGACGUAAUCCGUUAUCUGGGGCUGAUAACCAGAAACAAAAGGUGAGAGAAAAACAUUGAAAAAUCCGGAACGGUAAUUGGACUGAUUCCAAAUAAAUGAUUAUGGCUUUGACCUUUUCUGAAAAUUUGUGUCGGUGUCUCCAGUCAAUACGAUGCGACACGUGCUUAUGCUGUCUCGAAGCUCGCCAAUGUUUUGCACACCAAGGAACUUGCUCAGAGAUUGAAGGUGAUUAUUA